UAAUGAGGGAAGCAUGGUACUGUGUACAGAAAUCAAUAUUGGUACUAAUGUCUGCUUGCUCUGAUGCCUCUUGGCUCUGAUUUUGCGGGCCUGGAAACGUGCCCACAUUU
Small nucleolar RNA from Papaver somniferum (opium poppy), 110 nucleotides. RefSeq annotates it as small nucleolar RNA snoR100. The record is from RefSeq and is a predicted model, not a curated record. NCBI's taxonomy places the organism in Eukaryota, Viridiplantae, Streptophyta, Magnoliopsida, Ranunculales, Papaveraceae. The transcript has a single exon.